Molecule: ribosomal RNA, 447 nt
Filed under: Alteromonadaceae bacterium
Lineage: Bacteria; Pseudomonadati; Pseudomonadota; Gammaproteobacteria; Alteromonadales; Alteromonadaceae
Description: partial 23S ribosomal RNA
Rfam family: Bacterial large subunit ribosomal RNA
Source: RNAcentral
GAUACCGCCCAAGAGUUCAUAUCGACGGCGGUGUUUGGCACCUCGAUGUCGGCUCAUCACAUCCUGGGGCUGAAGUCGGUCCCAAGGGUAUGGCUGUUCGCCAUUUAAAGUGGUACGCGAGCUGGGUUUAGAACGUCGUGAGACAGUUCGGUCCCUAUCUGCCGUGGGCGUUUGAGAAUUGAAGAGGGCUGCUCCUAGUACGAGAGGACCGGAGUGGACGAACCGCUGGUGUUCGAGUUGUCAUGCCAAUGGCAUUGCUCGGUAGCUACGUUCGGAACUGAUAACCGCUGAAAGCAUCUAAGCGGGAAACAGGCUUUAAGAUGAGUUCUCACUGGAGCUUUAAGCUCCCUAAAGGGUCGUUGGAGACUACAACGUUGAUAGGUCAGGUGUGUAAGGGCUGCGAAGUCUUGAGCUAACUGAUACUAAUUGCCCGUGAGGCUUAACCAU